Molecule: transfer RNA, 76 nt
Filed under: bacterium
Lineage: Bacteria
Also listed under: 3 other names
Description: tRNA-Thr
Rfam family: tRNA
About the family: Transfer RNA (tRNA) molecules are approximately 80 nucleotides in length. Their secondary structure includes four short double-helical elements and three loops (D, anti-codon, and T loops).
Source: RNAcentral
GCCACUUUAGCUCAGUAGGUAGAGCACAUCCUUGGUAAGGAUGAGGUCGGCGGUUCGAUUCCGCUAGGUGGCUCCA